This 1497-nucleotide long non-coding RNA is filed under the name Chloebia gouldiae (Gouldian finch). RNAcentral's name for it is "Erythrura gouldiae (Gouldian finch) lncRNA (ENSEGOG00005007496.1)". Lineage: Eukaryota; Metazoa; Chordata; Aves; Passeriformes; Passeridae. The record is from RNAcentral.
CCUGUCCCUGCCCUUGCCUCACUUCCAUCUUGCCCUAUCCUGGCUCUGACACCUCUGCUGUACCUCUGGGCUUGUUCCUGCUGGGCUGAGCCUGCCAAGGAAGGCACAGCCUCAAGGAGCUGCUAUGGGAGGUGCUCUGCUGGCCCAGUUCAAGGGAGAAGUGCAGGCAUCGUGUGCUGGAGCUGCUCUGCCUGCACCACCCAUCCCACUCGUCUCCCAGUGCCACGGGCAGGGGCUGGUGGCAGGUCAGGUAAGCUGCUGGUGACAAUGGAGAGCUGGGAGCAAGGCUGGCUGGAUGAUCACUUUGUUGGACAGCACUCAUUUGGGGGUGAUGAACUUUUGGAGGCUGAUUUCCUUGGCCACUGCUGCUGCUUUUGGAAAAGCCCCCCUCACUUGGCUCUCCCAUUGUGGGAGGACCAGAAAAGGGGGAUGGAUGAGGAGCAGGAUGACCCUACUCACAGAGCUUUCCCCUCAUCGUGUCGCGGUAGCCACGUUUCAAGAGGUCGGGGACCGCAAGCAGGAAAACGAGGAAAUGAAGAAACAGGAAAAAAACCUGUGGAAGGAAAAAUGUCUCCAGCUCCUCCCUCCCCUGCAGGGCACUCUUCUCCGUUUGGUUUUCUCUUGAGCUGUUAGAUUUCUGAGGCACAGAGUGGCAGUGCCCAUUUCAUUGCAUGGCUCCUGCAGGAUGCAGCUCUACCACCGAGCAAAGCUGGGAGCUGCCUCCCUCACCUGGCUGGCCAAGAAGGAAAACUCCAAAUUCCAUGUGACUGUAGCACAGGACAAGGAUCACAACACUGGAUCAAGGAUCUGCCCCCACUCACAGCACUGCCAAGGACAUGGCAAUGCAUUUUAAUUCUGGCUAUGGAAGUAGGGAAAAAAAAGGUUUAUCCACAAAGUAAAAACCUAGUUCUUUAUAUGGGGAAUAUGAAAUGGAAGCAAACCCCAAGGCUAUAUGUAGAAACACCUUUCUGAGCCCUUCAGGGUGCCUGUAGCCCUUGUUUCUGGUUACCUGUCCAUCUCUCACAGCUUCCAGAGGCUCCAGAAACCCCCCCCCCCAUCUUUCCAGACACACUUCUGGAAGCAGCACUUUUUCCAUGGUGCUGGAGAGCACUUGCAGAGCUCCAUCACUGAGGGUUGGGCCAGAGCAUUUGCCCAAGAGUCUGAUUUAAAGCCCUGUGCUCACCCAGCAAAACCCAGGGCCUGAUUUGGCAAUGCUCUCCCUUGAGCAGACUGAUGAGAAAAGGGGAGGCCAGGCACUUCAAUUGUGUGACCUUGUAAUGCCCAGAGGCUCAAGCCUGUUACAAAAAUCUUGCUGGUCCAGGCAAUUGCUAAAAAAAGGGAGGAAAAAAAAACCCCAACCAACCAAACCUGUCAUCUGUCCAGAUUGCUAACUAAAUAACCUGUAAGCUGCAAUAAUUCUGCAAAAGAUGCUCUCAAGAGUGUAUUUUACUGUGAAAGUGGUUAUAAAUAAUAAUAAAGAAAUGCAUCUGUGUGUAC